ACGAACGCUGGCGGCGUGCUUAACCCAUGCAAGUCGAACGGUGAAGCGCCUUCCUUUUUGGUGGGUGUGGAUGAGUGGCGAACGGGUGAGUAACACGUGAGUAACCUGCCCCCUUCUUCUGGAUAACCGCAUGAAAGUGUGGCUAAUACGGGAUAUUCUGGGUCUGUCGCAUGAUGGGUCUGGGAAAGAUAUUGUUUCGGUGGGGGAUGGGCUCGCGGCCUAUCAGCUUGUUGGUGGGGUGAUGGCCUACCAAGGCGGUGACGGGUAGCCGGCCUGAGAGGGUGGACGGUCACACUGGGACUGAGACACGGCCCAGACUCCUACGGGAGGCAGCAGUGGGGAAUAAUGCACAAUGGGCGCAAGCCUGAUGCAGCGACGCCGCGUGAGGGAUGGAGGCCUUCGGGUUGUGAACCUCUUUCGCCAGUGAAGCAGGCCUGCCUCGUUUGUGGGUGGGUUGACGGUAGCUGGAUAAGAAGCGCCGGCUAACUACGUG
Molecule: ribosomal RNA, 493 nt
Filed under: uncultured bacterium
Lineage: Bacteria
Description: partial 16S ribosomal RNA
Rfam family: Bacterial small subunit ribosomal RNA
Source: RNAcentral